ACCACCACUUCUCUUGUCUCUUUCGCGUUUCCUCAUUUGUUUCCUUUUCUCUUAUUUUACUUUUUUUCCCCCCCGCUGGAACACCAAUUAAUUAAUCGAACGUCCACCGCUCCCGAAUUGCACGCAAGACGUCACGUUGAUCAACUGUCUUGCCCGCUACGACUCCUGUACAUUGUAUGUUUCUCGUUUUUUUCUGUUCUUUUGUCUGGGAAUGCAUCAUCGGCACACGUUUUGUCUUCCGACUCCAGAAUUCAGAAUCACACGACUGAUUGUACCGUUCACUCAUCCAAAUGACGCACGUGUAUAUAUACAUAUAUAUAUAUAUAUUUUUGUAAAGAAAUGUAAACAAGCACCGGAAGAAAGGGAAGUAGUAGAAGAAGAAGAUGAAGACGAAGACGAAGAAGAAGAAGAAACACGACCGCCUUACCGUCGUUCAUUCCCGUUUGUCACACGUUUUGGUUCAUUCUCUCUUUUCUCUCUCUCUCUCUCUCACUCUCUUUUUUUUUCUACUCUCGUCAAUCCCGAUUGUAUACGUCACGCCAAUUCACUGUGAACCGGACGCGAAGGGAGAAACGAAGCUUCACGAGAUAGCAGCAAAGGGAACCGUUAAUUAAGGACUAUUGUAAAGGAAAAUAUUUAACGACAAUGAUAAAACAAUUGUACCCUUGUGUGUUCAUUAUACUGUCCACCCCCGACCGCCCAUCUUGUACACUACAUUUUGUGCUCCUCUCAUUGUGAUAUAUUCCGUUCCCGUAUCGUUCCGUGCAACCCGUGAACCGGAGAGUUAACUCGUCGGUCGUGUUUGGUAUCACCUUUUUAUCUCCAGUUUGACGUCACUUUUUGUUUUCUUUCUCCGUAAACUAAUUUUUGUUGUAAUUUGUCACGUAGUAGUAUAUAUAUUUCAUUCUCACCUAUAUACAUAUCUACCAAACCUAAAUAUGUAUUAUAGUUGCAUUUAAAGUACCCGAUAAAAAAGAUUCACGACUGACGCAUCGAAGACGACUCGCAACGUUGAAGCAGAAACCGAGCAAUUUCUAUAUUAAUAAUACUCUGACAACAGAUAAUAUUAACCCUUUGCACUCUAUAGACUCGACAGUACCAUUUAUAGUAUUAAACAUAUUAAUAAACAAAGGAAACUACCCUAAGAUCAUUGCAUUCGCUACAAAUGCAAACUUCGACCUAAAAAAGAGCAUAGAAAGUCUAAAUAUUCUAACGUGACGCUGUUACAGCAAAAAUCUUAGAACAAACGUUAUAAUGUAACAUCUCUCAAUUCUCAUUAGAUAUAGAAGAGUAAGGUAAAACGGAACACCAAUGUUUUCCGUAGAUAAGGAGCUCGUAGAAGCUGAUGCACGACGUAGACCUCAUAAGUCUCCCCUACAGUUUGCAAUCGACUGUAGAUCAGCGUACGAGUAUUAUCUACGAGAAACAUAGGUGUCUUACCCUACUCUUCGUUAUUAUGAAAAUAACUUCCAGUUACCGAUAGGUUAAAAAGUCAGUUAGGGUGUCAAGGGUUAAAAGAAAUUCGAACGUUAUUAAAUUGCAUAUUCGAGCGGUAUAACGUUAAAUUGCUGAUGCAAGACCUUGCGUAAACGGCAUCCACGGAUGAAAGGUCACGAAGUAUCGGUCGUCGUUAGCCUUUCGCUAGAGAAAUGAUCGAUGACGGGUGUACCGAUCUAGUCACGGAAUUAUACGCGGCAUUAUCGUCGGAUCGGCUCGUUUCAGAUUUUACGAGCGUCGUCGUCUUCGGGCGGCAAUCAGUUGUGCUCGCUAGGCGGUAAUAACAGACCUGUCGUGUUCGCGGCGGCGUAAAGAGCGAAGCGUCUUAAUACGCUGUUAAUUCCGCGAACGGCUCAAUUACAUCGUGAUUAUCAGGCAACGAGCAAGAAGCGAAACUUUUACCAUGCCCGUACCUUUGCUCCGCGAGGAGGCCGCGAUCCCGUCGAACGCUCAAUGAGCCGUAUCAAAUGGUAGAGCGUACAGUCGACCGUGUACAAUCUGCCGAGAAAUUUUACGCCACGUCCUAUAAAUAACAGCCCCGGUCGGGUUGAACGAAACUUCGGGAUUAAACUCGGUACUCAAACUUUUUGCACCGAUUUCCUUUUACAUUUCCCUCGAAUCUGGAAAGGUUUCGUUUACGAGCACGAUAUUCACUGGUAUAAUUCGAUUUUAUGGGGACGUUAAGCUUGAAAUCUCCGAUGUUAAUCUGCUAGGCGUGUAAAGAUAAGGGGAAUGGUCUCGGUAAUAGGAUAACUUGGACAUUUUGUAAUUCAUCGGGAACGGCUUAAUUGAAUUCGACUUAGAUUCGCGCAAGGAAAUGUUGAACGAUUCCGAGGCACUUCUUCGAAUCGAAUUGUCAUCCUUAUUUCCCUUUACUCUUCUCAGUCGAGGAUACGUUGAAUCUAGAUAAUCUAACUUCGAAUGGAACCGAGGAGAAUGAAAUGUCUAAACGUAAAUUAUGUAAUAUACAAAGUGACGUUCGAUUGGAAGUGAUUUUUCAAAUUUCCGACGAGGGGUUGGGAAAUAAAGGACGUGGCGCGGCGCGACGAAUCAGUCGUAUUUCACGGCACAUUGUCGCAAAAUGAUUCUAUUCGCAGCCGAACAGACAAGCACGGUAGGUGCUUCGUUAAUAAACUUCCGCUUGAUCACGAUUCGCUACAGAGUGCCGCCUCUAUCGGCGAGCUUUUUUGCCGCGUGUCCGUCACGAGCCUCGCAUUGUUUGCCAUUCGACGUCGGUCACACGGAAACGGGACGUUCACGGAAAAUUAUUCGCUCGUAAGGUUAUCGUAUAUGCCUAUUGUCCGCUUCGCGCGAUCGUUAUUGAUUAUCCAGCUCGAUUUUUCCAUGGAGAUCCGCGUCCGUUCGUGGGAAUUAUUCGCGGAAGAGCAGCUGACCGUGGACUGCUCGCAGAAAUCAUUCGGUCGUCGCGCAUUGAAAUUACUCGGGCCGGUGUUUAUCAUCGCGUCAUUGUUGUUUAAUUACCCUGACAAUAUUCGGCAUCGUGAAUGGCCGUUGAUUUACGCCUUGGAGCGUACGCGAGGGUAUUCUCCUGAGAGGGCCGCGCGCGUCGCGUCUUGAACGUCACGUAGAGGGUUGUUAACACUUGAAUAACCGGCAAUGCGUUUUUUCAAUGUUCCUCAACGAUUGUUCAAUAACCGAUGUUGCAUUUUUGCAGUCCGUAAUAUUGUAUAUUUAGUAUUUCGGUACGACACGCGUGUGUUUUAAAUUAUCAUGUUUGACAUGAGUUUUCGAUGUGAAAUCGGCGUCAAACGAGUAUGUCUUAAAUUACUACAUUUCAUUCGAUUUUCCUUUGAAGCGUCAUAUUCUGAGAAUUCGCAAAUUACUGGUGGUCGCGUAAAGCGUACCUAUAGCUGCAAAUUAAAUAGUCGGUUACUUAAGUAUUAAUAUUCGGCUCGGGCGUAUAAUGCAUCUAUAAAUGCUCGAGUCUAUGCUUUAUGAUCUCUAUCGCAGGUGCGUUGAUUGAUAUGCUCAAGAUGCUUUAUUAUUGAUAACUUUCCAGGCAGAAAGGGAAUCUCUAAUUACACUGAGCCUUUACGUUAUUACUGGUAAUUCACCAGGAAAAAGGGAAAAUCUGUAAUCGUACUAAGCUGUACAUACUUAUUCCAAAGAGGAACAGUACAUCACUUCGACUUAAACCCUUGUCCUGUUAUUUAUUUUACAAGUGCGCUUGGUAAAACUGCUUUAUCAUUGAGAUUUUGUUAGAAAAAGGGAAGAAAUUGAUAAUUCUCCUAUGUCUACAUUUACUCUAAUGGUUAACAAAUUGGUAAUAUAAAAGUAACAUGUAACUUCUAUUUUUAAAAAACACUAAGUGAGAGAGACAUUUAGAUUCAUGGAAUUCAGUUAAAAAUUUUCACAGCGAGACAUGACAUUUUCAGGCAAGGGGUUAAGAAAACGAAGUGACUUUGAUACUUAUUUGCUCCUGUGUGGAAUCUAUCUGUACAUUCUGCGUCGAUAUCAUAAGGCGAGUGCAUAAUGCGAGAACGUGCGCGGCCCCGUCGUAAAUCAGCCAAUUUAACAGCGCGCGUGCCGCCGACGUGCCACGCAGGUGCGAAUGAAAAUUUUAUCUCGUGCACGUGCAUCAAAUUAAACUGUGCCUGUCGCGUUUUGAGCACAAACGACCGUGCCGCGCGUCGAAAUGCAAACGGUACGAGCGUUUUUUCGGCUGCUGUUCGCUUCCGCCCAAAAGAGAGAUCAAAUAUGCACACUGCCGUUAACAAGUUGAAAAUGUCCUUUGGGUUUUAGAGAGUGCCGCUGUUAGAAACUCACGGGCCGUUUCAUGUUGAAUUGAUCGGAUGUUCAACACUGUGCCAUAGAUUUUGGUGGAACUUUGAUCUCUAACUAGCAGUUCGCAUGAAACUGUCCGAGUUUCAAGUGCAUUUUAGCGUUUUGUUUAAUAUUUCAGUCAGCACGUGCACUAGAAUGGGUAUUAGCAUUUUAUUCGCAGGCUGCAUUCGCUGUGACAAGAUUCACAAAUUAAUCUGUACCUGUUAAGCUAAUAGCAGCAGUAUUUUCAUUUUUUUUCGCUUAAUCAUAGGGAACUGAGUUUUAUUAAGUGACUAAACGAUAGUGUUUUCAAUUUUUUAACGGCAGUCCAAACGUACGCUAAAUGCUACAGACAUCGUUGCAUUCGCGCUGCCUAUUAGCCAUUGCAUGCGAUGUGCUGUAUCCAUUACUUUCGCCUAGGAGGAACCCGCCCCGGAACCACCACCAGAGGCUGCACCAACGCCAUCUCCGGAACCACCAGCAGCGCCUGCAGAAGCACCGCCAGCAGCACCUGCGGAAGCACCGCCAGCAGCACCUCCUGCGGAGGGUGCGCCGCCGGCUGGCGCACCUGCAGCACCACCAGCGGAGGGAGCUCCUGCUGCACCACCAGCCGAGGGAGCCCCCGCUGCACCGCCAGCCGAGGGUGCCCCUGCUGCACCGCCAGCGGAGGGAGCACCUGCUGCUGCGCCGGCAGCCGAAGCGCCAGCAGCCCCAGCAGAAGCACCAGCGCCAGCGCCCGCUGAAGGAGAUAAGGUACUUAUGGUUUUGAAAGUCACAAUGGUCAUCAGUCCUCCCGGUGCUCCUAUACCGAGAAUCCGAACUAUACGCCCUAUACCCCGAUCAAAAUUUAUUACGUUAGCGCCCGCAUCGUAACUUCGUCGAAGUUGGAACGGACGAAGGGUCACCUCGCUAUAUAAUUUCCACUCGUUGACGUCAGAAUUUGCAUAAAACGUACACGGAUAAGCAUAGAGAGCACGGGCUACGUAACGCGUCGAGCCAUAUUAUUCUCGCCGCGACGGUUCAUGCGUUGGUAAUCAUCGUCGUCAUCGUCCUCGUCGUCGACGCCGUCACCGUCGCCGCAGUCGUCAUCGUCAUCGUCGUCGUCGUCAUCGUCAUCUUGAUCAUUGUUCUUUCCGUCAUGCACAUGCGUCAUGUUUACGCGUCACGCGUGCCUCGGGGAGCGCGAACGGGAACAGAGGUAACAAAAAAACCAAAAACAAAAAAGGAAAGAAAAACAGGGAAACAAAAAAACCAGGAAAACCUAGAGGAAGAUUAACAAGCAAACAAAAAACAGGGGCACACUCGUCACGUGACACGUUUCGCCUCGUUCCUUCGUGGGUUUCACGGCGCGCUGUUCUUAUCAUUCAUAGCCAAUCGAAGAGUACCUUUCACGGGAUCGGCCGACCAGCUCUUCUUUUCCCGGGAUGUUAGCUAAUUACACGAAAAAAAAAGAAAUGGCAACGAUAAACCUUACCCCCUUCGAGGCGACCGGGCCCCGUGAUUGUUCGAAUCGUGUCGCGUAAUCACGAUCCACGAUUCUACCGGGUGUGUUCCGUCGAUCGAUAAAGCCGAACAGGUCCGCGGAACGUACCCGAGAUCACGACACACCGUAAACGAUUUGUAUAUAUAAUUUACGACGCGUUCUACCGAAUGUAAUGCGAAUGUUCACCGAACCAUACCAUACACGAAUUGGAUUUCGUAAUAAAAACAUUUCUGCGACUAUCAACUGAGUGUCCCGUGGCUGGUGAUCGAAUCGAUACCGAUGCUAUCGGUGAUAGUCGAACAACUCGACGACAAAGUGUUCCAAGGGAGAUGUUCAAAUUCAGAAUUCGAACAACUGGAGAUUGCAGCUCUACCAAAUCAGGGAGCUAUCCGAAUUUCAAAUGUUCAAUACUGGUUCGGUAUUAUUCCGAUCACUAUCCAAGGUAGAUUAAGUAACACCGACCCCCUUCCCGCCGAUCAAAGGAACGCUGUUUCCGGGUGUGUAAUUACGCUCCGUUUCGCGAUUAAUAUUCGAUGCCCGGAGCCCUUGAUUUUCUCGCGCGGCGCCUUUAUUUGGGAUCGUUCAUUGUCGCCCAACCCCCACCCCAUCUCCCAGCGCCGCGCCGUGCCAAGGGGUUGACGGGACUCAUUUGUUUAUGUUGCUCGCUGUCGCCCUGCCACGUGUUUUGCUAAUCCCUUUGUCGCUUUGUUUCGUUACACGUACCGCACAGCCGACACGGGAACAAUAGACGAUCCUUCGUAAUGGAAUUUACGUGGGUCAGUCUUAUUGUCAGCGAGUCUCCUCCCACCCCCGGUGUCCCGUGGCGGCCGUGUAAUCGAUCUUCCAGCUAUCAAACUAAAUUACGGCCGUUGAACGCGUCCGGUAUUCGAAUUAACGAGAAAAAGGAAUUUCUGUUAACACGAACGAUCGUCGCCUGUUGUUUGAUUCCUACAGAGAUUAUAAUAAUGAUUGUUAUUACGCCGUCUGCAACAUUCUCACUCGAUGAUGGAAAAGUCGAUGGUUUCAAUUGGAAAUUGUAAAGAACGAAUGAAAAGAGGGGAAGGAAACUUUCCCGUUGAACAGAUAAGAAAAUUCGAAACGAUUGAUUAAUAUAAUUGUAUAAGUUAGAAGAGGAAACUUUUCGAGAAAGUUGUUCGAAUACAAUUGUGUCUAGUAACAGUUUUCUUCGACGGUUUGAUUACCAUAAAACUGCUGUACUUUAGGCAAACGUUUACUUAAGUCCAUUCGUUUUAUCGCACUUCGACUGCAAAAGUAUGAUACAAUCGAAGAAAACUCACAAUCGGAAGCGUAUCUAUCUCAGCACGUUCACCGUUCUGUGAUUCAUGCAUGUGUCAUAAUUAAACUGUCGAUUUCAUGCGUUUUGCAUCCUACACGAUUCUAGAAUAUUCCGUAUUAUUGAAUGUUUAACAUGUUUUAACAAUCCUCUCGCUUCGCACGCAGUCUAAUCGAACUUCACAGUUACGAAAAUCAAUUUUCAACCCUACUUUCUGUAAACCGAUAGUUUCAAAUCUAUCUCCAAUCAUCCCGGUCGCAAUGUCAAUUGAAAAAAUUGUAAACCAAACCCGGCGGACCACUUGAUCCGGAAGCCAUAUUGGAU
Molecule: non-coding RNA, 7382 nt
Organism: Nomia melanderi (Alkali bee)
Lineage: Eukaryota; Metazoa; Arthropoda; Insecta; Hymenoptera; Halictidae
Source: RefSeq, a predicted model, not a curated record